AACACGGGAAUUUCCCUAAACGAAUUGAUGGGAAGUGCGGACGCAUUAACGUAAGAUUGAAACUUAAAGGAAUUUAAUGGCCGCGAAGUGGUGCCUGCAACUGUUGAUUCAAACAUAGGGAAACUUACCGGGUUCGAUACGUAAAAGGAUCGGCAGACAGAGAUCUCUUUCUUGACCUAUAGGUGGUAGUGCAUGGCCGUUCUUAAUUGGUGGAGUGAUUUGUCUAGUUAAUUUCAUUAAUGAACGAAACUUGACCAGCUAACAAGCUAUGUGGUGGUACUCUUCCGUGGCCAGCUUCUCAAAGGGACUAUGGCUGCUUAAGUCUUGGAAAUUUGACGCAAUAACAGGUCUGUGAUGCAUAUAGAUGUUUUGGACCGCAAGUGCGUUACACUAAUGUGUUCAAUGAGUCUAUAGUUUUAACCGACAUGCCUAAGCAAUCUUUAAAAUUUUAUCGUGAUGGAAUUAAACCAUUGCACUUUAUUAUCUUCAAUGAGGAAUUCCCAAUGAGAGCGACUCAUCGGCUCACGUUGCAGUGACUACGUCCAUGCCCUUUGUACGCACGGCCCGUCGCUUGGACUGAUUGAAUGAUGCAGUAAGGUGUUCAAAUCGUGGCGACACGAGUGCUAUGUCAUCAAAGACAUCAUGAGAAGUCUAUUAAACUUUUCAUUUACUAAGGUUUAAAUGAGGAAUUCCUAGUAAUCGUGAAGUGUUCGGAUCGUGG
RNAcentral lists this non-coding RNA (721 nucleotides) under Punica granatum (pomegranate). RNAcentral describes it as "Eukaryotic small subunit ribosomal RNA". It matches the Rfam family "Eukaryotic small subunit ribosomal RNA", at positions 1076 to 1831 of the family's 1831-position model. Lineage: Eukaryota; Viridiplantae; Streptophyta; Magnoliopsida; Myrtales; Lythraceae. The record is from Rfam by way of RNAcentral.